UACAGAGGUCCCAAGCGUUGUUCGGAUUCACUGGGCGUAAAGGGUGCGCAGGUGGUCGGGUAAGUCUGAUGUGAAAUCCCGCAGCUUAACUGCGGAAUGGCAUUGGAUACUAUUCGGCUAGAGGGUUGGAGGGGGGACUGGAAUUCUCGGUGUAGCAGUGAAAUGCGCAGAUAUCAGGAGGAACACCCGUAGCGAAGGCGGCACUCUGGGCCGAUACUGACACUGAGGAGCGAAAGCGUGGGGAGCGAACAGG
Molecule: ribosomal RNA, 253 nt
Filed under: uncultured bacterium
Lineage: Bacteria
Description: partial 16S ribosomal RNA
Rfam family: Bacterial small subunit ribosomal RNA
Source: RNAcentral